This 625-nucleotide small RNA is filed under the name Pan troglodytes (chimpanzee). Its description in RNAcentral is "retained intron". Lineage: Eukaryota; Metazoa; Chordata; Mammalia; Primates; Hominidae. The record is from RNAcentral.
AAGUGGAGGUGAGCUGUCGCGGGCGGCGCCCGGCCUUGCUCAACGCCCAGCAGUCCCCACCGUCGCUGCCGCCGCCACCGCCCUCGGCCGCUGCCGAGGCCUCCUGCAGCCAUCAUGUCCGCCAGCGCCGUCUACGUGCUGGACCUGAAGGGCAAGGUGCUCAUCUGCCGGAACUACCGUGGCGACGUGGACAUGUCGGAGGUGGAGCACUUCAUGCCCAUCCUGAUGGAGAAGGAGGAGGAGGGGAUGCUGUCGCCCAUCCUGGCCCACGGGGGGGUCCGUUUCAUGUGGAUCAAACACAACAACCUGUAUCUGGUUGCCACAUCCAAGAAGAACGCGUGCGUGUCGCUGGUCUUUUCUUUCCUCUAUAAGGUGGUGCAGGUGUUUUCCGAGUACUUCAAGGAGCUGGAGGAGGAGAGCAUCCGGGACAACUUUGUCAUCAUCUACGAGCUGCUGGACGAGCUCAUGGACUUCGGCUACCCCCAGACCACCGACAGCAAGAUCCUGCAGGAGUGAGUGGGCAAGGGUGGGGCCUGGGGCCAGGCCUGGGCGGUGUCAUGACAUCGACGUCAUCAGGUGUGGAAACAGAAGGGGCAAAUUUGUGUUCAUGUUGUCCCCCACCCGC